AUAAAUAACUAUGUAAAAGUAUAAUAUAAUAUGGACAUUUAGGUGUAAGUAGUUAAAGUGAUUGUUAGGGAUGCCUAGCGUACAUUCAGAUAAAGGAGGUGAAAACACCAAAAGCUAGUAUCAUAAGAUAGUAUUAGCAAUCCUAAGGUAAACCGAGUAUAUACUACGCAGUGAACUGAAACAUCUAAGUAACUGUAGGAAAGGAAAUCAACCGAGACUCCAUUAGUAGUGGCGAGCGAACAUGGAUUAGCCUAUACACUCAUAUUAUCAUAGAAUAUCUUGGAACAGAUAAUCCGGAGAAGGUGAUAGCCCUGUAUAUGAUAGAUGAGUGGUAUUAAUUAAGUAGUGUGGGAGAUAACCUGCAUGAAUAUUGGGAGACCAUUCUCAAAGGCUAAGUAUGAAUGUACUGCGAUAGUGAAGAGUACCGUGAGGGAAAGGUGAAAAGAAAGUCGAUGACUAGUGAAAUAGAUCCUGAACUAGCAAUCAUAUAAGCAAUGAGAGCAUGACUAGAUUUAGUGUGUGAUCAUGUACCUUUUGUAUAAUGGGUUAGCAAGUUAAUAUAAGUAGUAAGGCUAAUAACCCCAGCGAAAGCGACUGAUUAGUAUUUACUAAUGCGGGAUAAUUACUUAUAUUAGACCCGAAACACGGUGAUCUACCCUUGACCAGAUUAAUUAAAUAGAUCGAACGGAUCAAUGUUGCAGUAUUGUCCGAUGAGUUGAGGGUUGUAGGUGAAAGGCCAAUCUGACCGUGAGAUAGCUGGUACUCCAUUAAAAGUAUUUAGGUACUGCCCUCUUUAAAAGAUUUACGCGGGUACAGCACUGAUUACCAUGUCUGAUUGUGAUUACACUCUUGGAUUCAAUUGGGGGAUUGAGAGAUUCUACCAUUGGUAGUUAACCUCGGAAUAACGUAAAUUGUUUUAGAGGAGACAGACUAUUCAUGAUAAGGUGGAUAGUCAAGACGGAAACAGCCGUAAGCAUAGAUGAAGGUCCCAAAGUAGUGAUUAAGUGAAAGUAAGGAAGUCGUGACUCGCAUACAGCUAUAAGAUGAGCUUGGAAGUAGCUACUCUUUAAUAAUAGUGUAACAACUUAGUAGUCUAAUGAGUCGUGGCGCCGAAGAUUAACGGGUCUUAGAUCACUCACCGAUACUAUGCCGUCCGGGAUCCCCUCAAAAGGAACUGGAUUGGGUAAUGGAGCAUCCGGCAUGGUUGAAGGAUAGUGUUUCAUUGUCUGGACAUAGCCGGAGAGAGAAUGCUUACAUGAGUAACGUAGAAAGUCGAUAUAAUUCGACUCGCCGAAUGAGAGAGGGUUUCAUAGAAAUGUUCGACAGCUAUGAGUUAUAACGGCCUCUAAGGUCUUUGGCUAAUGCUACUGACUGAUGAGUUUACAGUAGAAAGUCUUAUUUUAAUAAGGCCAAGAAGAUAAUACUGUUACAUCCAUAUUGGAUAUUACCGUACCCUAAACCGACACAGGUUCUCAGGUAGAGUAUACUAAGGCGAUGAGAUAAUACAAUAUAAGGAACUCGGCAAAUUACAUCCGUACACUCGAUAAGAAGGAUGACCAUGGUUACAUGUUAACUAUGGUGGCACACAAUCGAGAGGCAUGACUGUUUACCAAAAACACAGGCAUCUGCUAUAUUACACAAUGUUGUAUAGGUGCUGAAUCUUGUCCAAUGCCAUGAUGAUAACAUGGGUGAAUUCAAAAUCACUUAUGGAAUAUCUGGUGAAUGAUAGUCUUAACUAUAAGGAUUCUAAGGUAGCAGCGAAAUUCCUUGGCCACUAAUUAUGGUCCUGCAUGAAUAGAGUAACAAUGCCUCUGCUGUCUCAUAUUGUAUCUCAGUGAAAUUGAAUUAGCCGUGAAGAUGCGGUUUACGUGCGGGUAGACGAGAAGACCCUAUGCAGCUUUACUAUAACCAGUUAUCGAUCUAAACCUCGUCAGGUGUAGAGUACAAGGGAGUCGUUAGACGUCAAUGAAACACCUUGACUGAUGAAGGAAUGGAUCUUAUCUGAAAAAGAGACAAUGACUGGCGGGUAGUUUAACUGGGACGGUUUCCUCCAAUAAAGUAUCGGAGGACUUCAAAGGUAUGCUUAAAUUAGAUGGAAACUAAUUCGCUAUGUAGAGCGAAAUCAAGUGUAAAGGCAUAAGCAUGCUUAACUGUAAGACCGAUAGGUCAAACAGAUACGUAAGUAGGACUUAGUGAUCCGGUGGUUUGGUAUGGAACGGCCAUCGCUCAAGAAAUAAAAGUUACGCUAGGGAUAACAGGGUAAUAGCGCGCGAGAGUUCACAUUGUCCGCGCUGUUUGCCACCUCGAUGUCGACUCAUCUUAUCCUCUUGGUGCACAAGCUAAGAAGGGUUCUGCUGUUCGCAGAUUAAAAAGGUACGUGAGUUGGGUUCAAUACGACGUGAGUCAGUAUGGUUUCUAUCUUCCGCACGGAAAAAUAAUCAACACUAGAUGGAUCUUUAGUACGAAAGGACUUAGAUCUGUGUUCCUCUGGUGUACCAAUUGUUGGAUUACAAUCUGGCAUCGUUGGGUAGCUACGAACAUCAAGGAUAAACGCUGAAAGCAUCUAAGCGAUUGAAGCCUACUAGUAGAGAUAAUAUAAGGCUAGAGAUAGACUAUCUCUUGAUAGGUCACAUGUGUAAUCAUCGUAAGAUGUGUCAGCUAAGUGAUACUAAUUAGCCAAUAGACUUACACCUACCA
RNAcentral lists this ribosomal RNA (2697 nucleotides) under Tremella fuciformis. RNAcentral describes it as "LSU rRNA". It matches the Rfam family "Bacterial large subunit ribosomal RNA". The record is from RNAcentral. Lineage: Eukaryota; Fungi; Basidiomycota; Tremellomycetes; Tremellales; Tremellaceae.